AUAUCUGGAACUGUGGAAGCCAUCUUGUCACCAUGAAGUCACAUGUUCAAGGAUGAGAGGUCCACACACUGCAGAUGCCCAAACAGGGUGAGAAAAGCCUGGGCUUUUGACUGCAUUGUUAAGCUUCAGAACAAACCCUGGAACCAUCUACCUCCAGCCUCUCACCAAGAAAACAGUGAUCGUCAUUAUGGUUCAAACCACUGUCGGCCAGGUCUUCUGUAACGGCAGCCCAGUGCAUUGUUGGGUGAGCAGUGAAGACCAGCUGAGUACGUGGAUGUCAUUCAUUUACAUACACAUUUUACAAACCUUUAUUAAAGACGACCAUGGAAUUCGAAAGCACUGAGCUAAGGACUAUAAGGAGAAACAAAUUACUUUCUGCACGAACAUGUCCUGUCUGGAGCUUCCAAAGAGGAGGAGCAGGUGAGAAUUUUAAAAGGAAAAAUUUUCCCUUCUAGCGACACAUACCUUAGGAGAUACCAAAAUUAAAUGUAUUUUAUCAUAACUGAUUCGACCCAGCUGACGUGGACCCCAAACCAACCCCCUUUUGGACCCAACUAAAGAUUCUUUCCUGAACAACGAACAGUUGGAUCUGUUUGAACCCACCAGAUACAGACCUGUAGAUUGAUUUCCGAGGUGCUGUUUUUCAACCUUUAAUCGCCGUGAACCCCUCUUUCCAGGUGACACAACCUGACUUUCCUCCCUCAGCUAUUCAGCGAAUUUCUUCACUCACGUGUGUUUCCUUGCCAGGCAAGUCAAUAAACUUGGCUUUGUGGAUUUUA
This is a long non-coding RNA of Neofelis nebulosa (Clouded leopard), 779 nucleotides long. RefSeq lists it as uncharacterized. The transcript is spliced from 2 exons. NCBI's taxonomy places the organism in Eukaryota, Metazoa, Chordata, Mammalia, Carnivora, Felidae. The record is from RefSeq and is a predicted model, not a curated record.